AUACACCAAAACCAUUUCAUUAAAGGACCACUCUUGGCACCCAGACCACUUCAGCUUAAUGAGGUGGUCUGGGUGCCAGGUCCAGCUAGGGUUAACCCAUUUUUUCAUAAAUCUAGCAGUUUCAGAGAAACUGCUAUGUUUAUGAAUGGGUUAAGCCUUCCCCUAUUUCCUCUAGUGGCUCUCAUUGACAGCCACUAGAGGCGCUUGUGUG
Molecule: non-coding RNA, 211 nt
Organism: Pelobates cultripes (western spadefoot toad)
Lineage: Eukaryota; Metazoa; Chordata; Amphibia; Anura; Pelobatidae
Source: the annotation of a GenBank genome assembly